GCACUAAGUGAGAGCAGGUAGAAGCUUGGACAGCCCUCUGGGAUUGUGUGGUGGGAGGUGAGCACUGCUUCACGCACAGAUGCUGGCAUGCCCAGUGUCAGAAAAUUAAAACUAAGGAAUGAAAAAGGCCUUUGCUACCAUUUUCACUCUUUGUGAAAUGUUGAUCAUAAAAAACAAAUAAUGAAGAAAAAAAAAAAAAAGAAAACAUCUCCAUCUACUAGUUUCAGUAAACUGCAUGUGUUGUCAUUUAAAUAAAAUGAAACAGAAUUUUUCCAGCAGUAAUACACUAUGUUUUUAAUAGCUCCACUUAUCUCAAUCUUAUUUUGUCUUGGCACUGGUGGUGCAAUCUUGGCACUGGUGGUGCAAUCUCCAACACUAGCCUCAACAUUUUAAAUUUAUCAGGUUCUGAGGACUAUCUGUUGAAAUAAACAGCCUAUCCACAGUGGCAACAUUAAGAGCAUUGAUGGAGCCUCAAAUAGAAUUGGUGGGUGCUUUGCAGUGCCAAAUUAAAUAACAACAGAAAAAUUCAUGCUGUAGAUGUCAUACCCCAUGCAAGCAAACUGAAUUCCCACAGCCUCAUUUCAGGGCAUAAAAGUCUGGUGAACAGAAAACAGCAAGAUGGCAACUAUUGGACAGAGUUCACGUCCACUUGCAGAGAUGAUGCUGGGGCACACCUUUGUUCUCAGCUUGCCCCAGCUGUCUAACAAAAUGUGUUAAUGUGUCCUUCUCCACCGGCCAAAUGGAAGGAGGGCAACCAGAAGAGGUGUAGAACUGAACCUAUCCAUGAGCUCAGGUUUCUGCUGCUCUUUCAAUGCUGCCCUGAAAUUACGGAACAGAGGUACCACAGUAGCAAUUUACACAAAGGUGGAAGUGCAAGUUAUAGUCCGCAUUUUCUUUCAUUUUCACUCAUUGUUCAAUAAUUCAUAUAUACUCAAGAUUUCAAAUUACUUUCAAGUUCUAUGACUAAUAGGGUGUGGAGCUGUAAUUUACUUACAUGAAUGUUUCAUUAUUUCCUUUCUACUGAAUUUGGAGAAAGUAUCACAAAACCUCAAUUCCUUAGGAUUGUAACUGGAAUGCAGUGAUUGAGCUGAAAUUUGACUCUAAUUUAACAUGUAAAUUCUGACCAUCAACAAAAGGGAAAAGAUCACUGUGUGAAGUUGUAGUUUCACUUCAUCAUUACCUUCCAUUUACCAGGAGUGCUUCUGAUGCAUUUGGAGAAGGUCCCAGUGCCAAGAAGAGAAAAAUAGAGCAUGUGAAACAUCAAUUAUUAAAGUAUAAUAUUCAUUACAAUGGAUGUAGUCACUAGGAAUUGCUAAUGGGCUUAGAGAGACAUGUUGGUCUUGAUUUACAGAUGUGAACUGAUGUACUGAUAUUUAGACAGAAUAAGUACUGGGUAUAUAAGGGGUGGCAUUAAGAAAGCACCCACUUAGACUCAAUAAAAAUGAGAAAAAAAAAGUUAUGUAUUAAUAUUUUAUUCUCUGCCCUUAGGGUUGUAAGGUUGAAAUCCAUCCCUUAGGUUUUCUCCAAAAAAGCCCUUCAAUUUCUGUAUUGUAGCAUCUUAAAAUUUACAUAUUUUGCCUCCUAUUUCCUGCUCACUCCUGAGACUGCCCUUCCUCUGCUUCCAAAGCUGCCAGGGCUCUUGCUCUCUCAGAAGACCAUCUGAAACUCUUUGCUGACUUGUGCCUAGCCACAGCACCAUCAGCCCAGCUCUCUACAUGGGCCAGAGCACCUUCUAACUCUUGCUGAAGGGCUGUGGCUGCCAGAAUCUGUGUUCUGUACAACUGCAAAGCUCUACAUGCACACUGACAAUUUACAGCCAUCCUUCACCAGCCAAGGCAAAAGCUCCCUCGCUGCCCCAGCCCUUACCCAGGGACAAAACACCCUGGAUGGCAGCAGCCCACACAAUGUCUUAUCUCGUGGAGCUCUAUCAAGACUAGCUACAACAAGUCAGUAUGUGAACAGCAGCUCCCCAGAACUGUUGCAAUGAAAGGCAAAUCUGGAGACCUGGGAUAUACAGCCCAGUUCCCAGGAAAGAUUGCCUAAUGAAGGGAGGGGAUUGCCAGUGUUGUUUUUUAAGAACAGGUUACACAAAAAAGCAACAGAACUGGCAGAGCCAGAGAUAAAUAAGCCUGCCUUUGGGCAGGGGGAGGCAUUCAAAGACAUGGUACAUUCUCCUCUGCUUUCUAUCAUCUGCCUAGGUACACUGAUUUUUGGUAUAUUUCUUAAGCCUUUUCUUUGUGCCCACACUAAUUUGGAUGAUGAACCAGCAGAGAAGUGCUGGAACAGGAAUCAGGAUGAGCAGGGCAUGUUUUCU
This is a long non-coding RNA of Onychostruthus taczanowskii (white-rumped snowfinch), 2314 nucleotides long. RefSeq lists it as uncharacterized. The transcript has 3 exons. The record is from RefSeq and is a predicted model, not a curated record. NCBI's taxonomy places the organism in Eukaryota, Metazoa, Chordata, Aves, Passeriformes, Passeridae.